GGCUCCGCAGCGUAGUGGUCAGCACGUCAGCUUGACACGCAGAAGGUCCUGGAUUCGCGCCCAGGUGGAGCCA
RNAcentral lists this transfer RNA (73 nucleotides) under Pteropus alecto (black flying fox). It matches the Rfam family "tRNA". Rfam says of the family: Transfer RNA (tRNA) molecules are approximately 80 nucleotides in length. Their secondary structure includes four short double-helical elements and three loops (D, anti-codon, and T loops). The record is from Rfam by way of RNAcentral. Lineage: Eukaryota; Metazoa; Chordata; Mammalia; Chiroptera; Pteropodidae.